UACGUAGGGUGCGAGCGUUGUCCGGAAUCAUUGGGCGUAAAGAGCUUGUAGGCGGUUUGUCGCGUCUGCUGUGAAAAUCAGGGGCUCAACCCCGGACUUGCAGUGGGUACGGGCAGGCUAGAGUGUGGUAGGGGAGACUGGAAUUCCUGGUGUAGCGGUGAAAUGCGCAGAUAUCAGGAGGAACACCGAUGGCGAAGGCAGGUCUCUGGGCCGCUACUGACGCUGAGAAGCGAAAGCAUGGGGAGCGAACAGG
This 253-nucleotide ribosomal RNA is filed under the name uncultured bacterium. RNAcentral's name for it is "partial 16S ribosomal RNA". It matches the Rfam family "Bacterial small subunit ribosomal RNA", at positions 524 to 776 of the family's 1533-position model. The record is from RNAcentral.